CGGACGGGUGAGUAACGCGUGGGUAACCUGCCUUGUACUGGGGGACAACAGUUAGAAAUGACUGCUAAUGCCGCAUAAGCGCACAGUAUCGCAUGAUACAGUGUGAAAAACUCCGGUGGUACAAGAUGGACCCGCGUCUGAUUAGCUAGUUGGUAAGGUAACGGCUUACCAAGGCGACGAUCAGUAGCCGACCUGAGAGGGUGACCGGCCACAUUGGGACUGAGACACGGCCCAA
This 235-nucleotide ribosomal RNA is filed under the name uncultured bacterium. Its description in RNAcentral is "partial 16S ribosomal RNA". It matches the Rfam family "Bacterial small subunit ribosomal RNA", at positions 99 to 334 of the family's 1533-position model. The record is from RNAcentral.